RNAcentral lists this ribosomal RNA (501 nucleotides) under uncultured bacterium. Its description in RNAcentral is "partial 16S ribosomal RNA". It matches the Rfam family "Bacterial small subunit ribosomal RNA", at positions 28 to 507 of the family's 1533-position model. The record is from RNAcentral.
GAUUAACGCUGGCGGCGUGCCUAACACAUGCAAGUCGAGCGGCAGCGAGUUUUACACUGAAUUCUGGAAGCUUCUAGUUGAAAGAGAAGAUUUAUUCAAGAAUUUUGUGUAAAAUGUCGGCGAGCGGCGGACGGCUGAGUAACGCGUGGGAACGUACCCCAAAGUGAGGGAUAACGCAUCGAAAGGUGUGCUAAUACCGCAUAUGGUCUUCGGAUUAAAGCCUUCGGGCGCUUUGGGAACGGCCUGCGUAAGAUUAGAUAGUUGGUGGGGUAAUGGCCUACAAAGUCGACGAUCUUUAACUGGUUUGGGAGGAGGAUCAGUCAGACUGGAACUGGGCCACGGUCCAGACUCCUACGGGAGGCGGCAGUGAGGAAUCUUCCACAAUGGGCGAAAGCCUGAGGGGGCAACGCGGCGUGCAGGAUGAAGGCCUUCGGGUUGUAAACUGCUUUUAAAAGUGAGGAUUAGGACAGUAACUAAUGAAUAAGGAUCGGCAACUACGUG